This 254-nucleotide ribosomal RNA is filed under the name uncultured bacterium. RNAcentral describes it as "partial 16S ribosomal RNA". It matches the Rfam family "Bacterial small subunit ribosomal RNA", at positions 524 to 776 of the family's 1533-position model. The record is from RNAcentral.
UACGGGGGGAGCAAGCGUUGUUCGGAUUUACUGGGCGUAAAGGGCGCGUAGGCGGCCACUGCAAGUCAGUUGUGAAAUCUCCGGGCUUAACUCGGAAAGGUCAACUGAUACUGCAGGGCUAGAGUGCAGAAGGGGCAACUGGAAUUCUCGGUGUAGCGGUGAAAUGCGUAGAUAUCGGGAGGAACACCGGUGGCGAAGGCGGUUCUCUGGGCCUUACCUGACGCUGAGGAGCGAAAGCGUGGGGAGCGAACAGG